This is a long non-coding RNA of Oreochromis aureus, 362 nucleotides long. NCBI's taxonomy places the organism in Eukaryota, Metazoa, Chordata, Actinopteri, Cichliformes, Cichlidae. The record is from Ensembl.
CUCGUUUCCAAACAAGAAAAGAAAGAAACUGAGAUUCUGGGUUCAUCCAGUUGUCAAAGAAGACAGCAGCAGAGAGAAUUUCAUGGUUUGAUCCAGGAGUUGAAGCUGUAUCACUGACAUCCGGCAUCAGUUUGAGCUCUUGCUGGCAGAGUGGGCAACACAUCUGAGGAGGCAGAGAAAUCAUUGCAUAGAGCCAAAUGACCCAGAGCAGUGUCUAAGACUGUUUGCAAUCAUCUCGGAGAGAGGAGUACCAGCAUCUCAACAGAGACUAAAACCAGCAACCCCAUCUGUUGCUCUGAACUUCUCUAGAUAGCAUGCACAAAGAGCAGCACAGACCAUUAAAGUCUGCAGGCCAAAAGACC